UACGUAGGGUGCAAGCGUUGUCCGGAAUUAUUGGGCGUAAAGAGCUCGUAGGCGGUCUGUCACGUCGGCUGUGAAAUCCCGAGGCUCAACCUCGGGUCUGCAGUCGAUACGGGCAAACUAGAGUAUUGCAGGGGAGACUGGAAUUCCUGGUGUAGCGGUGAAAUGCGCAGAUAUCAGGAGGAACACCGGUGGCGAAGGCGGGUCUCUGGGUAGUAACUGACGCUGAGGAACGAAAGCGUGGGUAGCGAACAGG
Molecule: ribosomal RNA, 253 nt
Filed under: uncultured bacterium
Lineage: Bacteria
Description: partial 16S ribosomal RNA
Rfam family: Bacterial small subunit ribosomal RNA
Source: RNAcentral